Zea mays is the source of this 1098-nucleotide RNA transcript. It is a transcript of the gene named G-type lectin S-receptor-like serine/threonine-protein kinase pseudogene, with no coding region annotated. The transcript is spliced from 5 exons. Lineage: Eukaryota; Viridiplantae; Streptophyta; Magnoliopsida; Poales; Poaceae. The record is from RefSeq and is marked validated.
UGGCCCAUAUCCUGGAGCGGGAUACAAACUGCUGCCUCAUGCUCUCUCUCAUGAGACAAGGGGGGCAGGUUGUUGUGCUUGCAAGUAUCUGUUGCAGAUGUUGUUCAUGCCUGUAACGUACCACAACAUACUGUUGUGUUUGAUGGUAUUAUAGUGCUAUGCUGGACAUCUCGCAGUCAAUUCGUUUUGAUGAUGAUGUGGAGGAUGGAAAAAGUCAUGAACUCAAAGUGUACUCUCUGGACCGUAUAAGAGCUGUUACAAUUAAUUUUAGUGACUCUAACAAGCUUGGAGAAGGAGGAUUUGGUCCUGUCUAUAUGGGAACUUUACCUGGGGGAGAAGUAGCUGUGAAGAGGCUUUGUAGGAAUUCAGGUCAAGGCCUUGAAGAAUUCAAGAAUGAGGUCAUACUUAUUGCAAAGUUCUAGCACCGCAAUCUUGUAAGAUUACUAGGGUGCUGCAUACAUAGGGAAGAGAAGAUCCAGGUGUACGAGUACAUGCCUAGCAAAAGUCUAGAUGCAUUCCUCUUCAAUCCUGAAAAGCAACGGCUUUUAGACUGAAGAAACAGUUUGAUAUAAUCGAAGGCAUUGCUAGAGGGCUGCUAUAUCUCCACCGGGAUUCGAGGCUGCGAGUUGUUCACCGUGAUCUCAAGGCCAGCAACAUUCUCCUGGACGCGGACAUGAAACCCAAGAUAUCAGAUUUUGGAAUGGCAAGGAUGUUUGGAGGGGACCAAAACCAAUUCAACACGAAUCAGUGGCUACAUGUCUACUGAAUACGCAAUGGAAGGUAUUUUCUCCGUCAAGUCUGACGUCUAUGGCUUCGGAGUCCUGAUCUUAAGCUUCCACUGUCACGAGGACUCCUUGAACAUCGCUGGAUAUGUAAACACUGGUGGUUACUAAGAUAAUUAGAGACAAGGGGGCAGGUUGAUGUGCUUGCAAGUAUCUGUUGCAGAUGUUGUUCAUGCCCGAUGCUGAUGACCCUUUUUUCAUACUGUUGUGUUUGGAUGGUGUACCACCAGUGUUUUACAACAGUUUGGCUUUUGGAAUUGCUACUGCUAAAACUUCGUUCCUCUAAGAAGACCUUUUGUUUUUGCAUUCCCAGCCG